This 106-nucleotide small RNA is filed under the name Marmota monax (woodchuck). The record is from RNAcentral. Lineage: Eukaryota; Metazoa; Chordata; Mammalia; Rodentia; Sciuridae.
GCCAGGUGCAGUGGUGCACACCUGUAAUCCCAGUAACUUGGGGGCUGAGGCAAGAGGAUUACAAGUGUAAGGCCAGCCUUAACAACUUAGCAAGACCCUGUCUCAA